GUUGCUUCUGUUCUGAAUUGAGUGACCCGCAUACAAUAUGUUAUUCUCAGUAAGAAGCAUAUAUGGAAAAGAUAAUAGACCAGUCUUAAACAGCAUGGUGGUUAAUUGCUGCACUGUGUUACCUGUCGCCUGGUACAUUU
RNAcentral lists this small nucleolar RNA (140 nucleotides) under Ananas comosus (pineapple). RNAcentral's name for it is "small nucleolar RNA snoR137". It matches the Rfam family "small nucleolar RNA snoR137". Lineage: Eukaryota; Viridiplantae; Streptophyta; Magnoliopsida; Poales; Bromeliaceae. The record is from Rfam by way of RNAcentral.